Molecule: ribosomal RNA, 470 nt
Filed under: Armaueriidae sp. 13 NEP-2019
Lineage: Eukaryota; Metazoa; Nemertea; Enopla; Polystilifera; Armaueriidae
Description: partial large subunit ribosomal RNA
Rfam family: Bacterial large subunit ribosomal RNA
Source: RNAcentral
AGUUUCUUGUAUUUUAAUUAGAAAUAUUUUCUGCUCAAUGAUUUUAAAUAGCCGCGGUAGUCUGACUGUGCGAAGGUAGCAUAAUCAUUUGCCUUUUAAUUUGUGGCUGGAAUGAAUGGGAGUACAUAGAACUUACUUUCUUCUAUUUUAUUUUAGAAUUUGUUUUUCAUGUGAAGAAACAUGAAUAUAAUAAAGGGACAAGAAGACCCUUUUGAGCUUUAUUUCAAUUAACUUUAUUAAAGUUUUGAUUGAAAUUUGGUUGGGGCGAUCAAGGAAGAAUUAAUCUUCUUUAAUAAUUAUAUUUUUGAUCCUAAGUUUUUGAUUUAAAGAUUAAGUUACCAAAGGGAUAACAGCGUAAUUUUUUUUAUGAGUUCUUAUUUAAAAAGAAGAUUGCGACCUCGAUGUUGACUUUUAAAUAUCAUUUUGGUGUAGCAGCUUUUAGUGAGGGUCUGUUCGACCUUUAAUUUUAA